AUGUAUAAGAAAGCAAGGUUGGUCUACAAGUCGUAUGGAGACAUAGGGUGUACCCUUAACAGUGAGAGAGAAAAUAGUAACAUUAGAAACAAUACGGAGGAGCUAGGCCAUACCAUAGCCCUCUCCAUGAUGUAUGCAUACUCCCCUCAGCAUCCACGAAAAGUAGAACUCAGGUCCUUUUUCUCUCAAUAUAUGAAGCUGAAGUCUAAACAUUUAGGCGUUCUCGAUGUUGGCCUGGGGGUGUUGGGGGUUUGGCAUCGUCCUCGAAGUGAAGGCACAACGACCUUGAGUCGAUCGCAACCUCAAGUGCUUUGCCACAUACUCAUCUUGAUUAGUUGUUCCCCUACUUGUAAUGACAUCUUCUGUUCUCAACUAAUGGUUUUGAGUCGCUAA
Molecule: ribosomal RNA, 393 nt
Filed under: Triticum aestivum (bread wheat)
Lineage: Eukaryota; Viridiplantae; Streptophyta; Magnoliopsida; Poales; Poaceae
Description: partial small subunit ribosomal RNA
Source: RNAcentral